This 843-nucleotide ribosomal RNA is filed under the name Arthrobacter sp. ECX10. Its description in RNAcentral is "bacterial SSU rRNA". It matches the Rfam family "Bacterial small subunit ribosomal RNA", at positions 50 to 906 of the family's 1533-position model. The record is from RNAcentral. Lineage: Bacteria; Bacillati; Actinomycetota; Actinomycetes; Micrococcales; Micrococcaceae.
CUAACAUGCAAGUCGAACGAUGAUCCCAGCUUGCUGGGGGAUUAGUGGCGAACGGGUGAGUAACACGUGAGUAACCUGCCCUUGACUCUGGGAUAAGCCUGGGAAACUGGGUCUAAUACCGGAUAUGACUCCUCAUCGCAUGGUGGGGGGUGGAAAGCUUUUGUGGUUUUGGAUGGACUCGCGGCCUAUCAGCUUGUUGGUGGGGUAAUGGCCUACCAAGGCGACGACGGGUAGCCGGCCUGAGAGGGUGACCGGCCACACUGGGACUGAGACACGGCCCAGACUCCUACGGGAGGCAGCAGUGGGGAAUAUUGCACAAUGGGCGCAAGCCUGAUGCAGCGACGCCGCGUGAGGGAUGACGGCCUUCGGGUUGUAAACCUCUUUCAGUAGGGAAGAAGCGAAAGUGACGGUACCUGCAGAAGAAGCGCCGGCUAACUACGUGCCAGCAGCCGCGGUAAUACGUAGGGCGCAAGCGUUAUCCGGAAUUAUUGGGCGUAAAGAGCUCGUAGGCGGUUUGUCGCGUCUGCUGUGAAAGACCGGGGCUCAACUCCGGUUCUGCAGUGGGUACGGGCAGACUAGAGUGCAGUAGGGGAGACUGGAAUUCCUGGUGUAGCGGUGAAAUGCGCAGAUAUCAGGAGGAACACCGAUGGCGAAGGCAGGUCUCUGGGCUGUAACUGACGCUGAGGAGCGAAAGCAUGGGGAGCGAACAGGAUUAGAUACCCUGGUAGUCCAUGCCGUAAACGUUGGGCACUAGGUGUGGGGGACAUUCCACGUUUUCCGCGCCGUAGCUAACGCAUUAAGUGCCCCGCCUGGGGAGUACGGCCGCAAGGCUAAAACUCAAAG